Rattus norvegicus (Norway rat) is the source of this 8743-nucleotide non-coding RNA. The record is from RefSeq and is a predicted model, not a curated record. NCBI's taxonomy places the organism in Eukaryota, Metazoa, Chordata, Mammalia, Rodentia, Muridae.
GCCUUGCCUUGUGUAGAACUCUGCUGUCCUGGGAGCUGCCUGCAGUCCAGUGGGAACUGAGUUAGUCCCUUCCGAAGGCAUUGUGAUCUCAGCUUCUCAGAGGUCCCCAUGCUUGGUUGCCACACUAGGGACAAAGCUUCCCACACAGCGAACUUUGAGGUAUACAUCCAAACUUACAGCAUCAAAGUUGUGUAUUUCAUUUAAAAAGCUUCAUAAAAAGUGGUCCUAUUUCAGACAAAAUUUUAAAAAUAAAAUCACAUAAAUACUUAGAUGAAAUUUCUACAUAUAGAGGGCUAUAUUCUGGGUAUCCUAGGGAGACAAGAGUCAAAUGGAAUAGUUUGCAGGAUGUUUGGACUCUCACGAAGCUUUCUCCUCUAUAUAUUCACAGAACUAUGAGUACCACUUCCCCUUUGUUGUACAUAAAGGGGCAUUAAUAUUAUUUUCAUACUGUCCUAGCAACUUAGAUAUUUAUAGGUUAUACUUUUCAAAUGACUUGAAAUAAUUAAGCAUUAUAUCCUAUAAAUAAUAGUUUUCUGCAGUUGAGAAAUAAAUGUUACCAUAGGGAAAUUGGCUAUGCUGUGCAAAUAUUACAUAUAGUAGCAUUUACUUAAAACUACAUAUAUAAAGUUGUUACAAAUUGAACUCCAGGGAUUAUGCAUAUAGGAUACAUCUCAGUUACGUCUAGUCUUGUGUAAAAUAUCACUAUGUCCAACUGCAGAGAUUCUGGGUAAACUGGUCAAAAUAGUCCUGUUUGAAUUUUUAGAUCACAGUGUUGAUGUAAAAUUAUGCAUUUUUAUUCUAUUACAAAUAUAGUGAAGGUCUUGGCAAAUGAUGGUCAGUCGCACUUAUGAAUGGAAUCCAGACUGGCUUGAAAGUUUGUGGCCCUUGGGCAGUACAGCCUCAAUCUCCUUGUCACUUGUGUUCUAAUCUUUAAAGGAAGGAUAGGAGGAGCUUGGUUUUUGUUAUUUUUUUUCUCUUGGUGGGGGUCAGAAAAUUCUAGCAUAUUAUCUGAGAGCUUUAAUAUACAAAUAUAGUUUUUUACUGGGACAUACCAAAGGAAAAGUAAUUAAUUUCAUGAUCACUGUCAGUUGUCACAUUUGCAAAAACUAUAAUAUAUAUUAAUUUUCAUUUUUGUAUGAACAAUUACAAAUUUAUCCCAUAGAGAGAUAGGUCCUUCUUGUACUCUGAAUCCUAAUUACUUAAAUGUCAAACAGGAAUGAAAGCGAAACACAAAACCCACGGUCUCCUUGGAGUUGGAGGUAACGUCUUCUGCUUCAAGGAUUGUUGGUAGGAUUAAGUGUCACUGUGUAAGGAGCUGUCACAGUCCUUAGUGUCUCGCUUUGAGUUCUGUCUAGCCCUGGCUGAAAUAGUACCAGGUCCAACCGCAGAGAUUCUGUGCAACUGGACUCAGCAGAAUAACACGUUUUGAGUUUUUGGAUCAGUGUUGGAUUAAAAUUGUAUGUUUUUAUUCCAGCUUCGUGCUGCCCGUGAGUGUUGUUGACUCAGUAGCUGGCAGCACUGACUGAACACUUACCUGCGUGUUCCGUGCUGCCUCAAGUAUGUCACACACACACUUAGUCAUCGCAGGAACCUGUGGAAGGGUUUACUGCCCUUAUGCUGAUUUUAUAAUGAGGAAAGGAAGGUUCCAAGAAGCCCAGCGGUGUCCAGUCAUGUGAAUGUAGGGUUAGUGAGAGCUCAGACCUAGCUGCUCUGGGCUGUCUGUAACCUGCCUAACCGUGACUCCACAAACAAAGGCGCACAUUUCCACUUUUGGCUUACUUGGCUACAGUUGUGAAAAGUGGCACUAAAUGUGUCCUCUGUAGCUCAUUCCCUACUUGAACUGCUAUCAAAAAGUUGUAGAUGCUUAAAUAAAUAGUAGCAGUAGUUACUUUAUUAAUGCACUUGGCUUAAGGUUUUGCUAAUUUUAUUCUCAUUUCUUACUAUUAGCGUGCAUAAGCGCAGGCGUGCAUGCCGUGGAGGCCAGCUUUUGUGAGAGGGUGCAGGCCUGCCUUCUUCAGUCAGUUCCAGGGAUGGAGCUCAGGUUAGCAAGCUUGCCCAGUUCAUCUCAUCAGCCCAGCAGGACUUUUAAAUAAAACAUACUGUCAUUUUUGCUUAACCACCGGCUUCUUUUCAGAAAUGGGUCCUUUUGUUACUAUCCGAGUGUUCCUGUAAGAAACAGAUGCUGUAGAUGGUUCACUGUGGCCUCUCAGUGCAGUGUAAAUGUGAGAUGUAUGGGGCUUCUCCCGGGUAACCUGAUGCACUCCGUCUCUUGCGGUGGAGGUGAAUGGAUACUUAGUAAACGUAGGAGCACUCUGACUUCCCAGGCAGGAACUGCUGUCUAUCCACGGUCUCACGGCCUUUUGCUUUACACAGAUGUGCCAUAGGUUUGUGUGGGUCAGUCUCAUCAGAGCCACAGGAGAGAGAGGUGUUCUAGGAUGGCCCUAAGGUCACUGGGUGACAGGGGUGUUUUGAUCUCAGAAUAAUGCCUCAUAGGUGGCUCAGUAUGGCUCAUAGAUGACAUGUGUGGUCAUGACCACAUGUCAGUGAGUGGUGCAUGGCUGUUUCGGUGACUCAGAAGUGUUGUUCAUUACUGAUAGGUUAUAUGGAUUACUAUUUUAAACUAUGUACAAAGCUUAGAGUAUUUUCAUUAAUGGUUGGGAAUGCUAUUUCUUAUACUAGGUGGGGUUAUAAAAUUCAUGGGUUUUGGAGAUUUUCCCCAUACAUUUGUUAUAAAAAUAUGAGCAACACUAUUUAGGGAUUAAAAUAAAGAUGAAGGGAAGUCUGUUUGGUCUUCUACUGUAGUUUACUUAGAGCUCAGGAAAGUCUUCUACUUUUUAAGACCAAACUUUAUUUUUCAGUAAUAUAUAGAUUUUGAAAGCUAUUUUAACAGUUUAAACAAUUUUACAAAUAAUUUCUACUCUAUGAUAAUUGAAAUGACAUUUAUCAAAAAUAUAAACAAUCAGCAAUUGAAUGGUGUUGAUUUAGCUUUCAAAACUUUAAGAAUUAAUAUGGUAGGUUUAUUAGAACUUACAUGUUGAAUUUUGACCCCUUGUUUGAUAAUAAAGAUAUAUUUGAACUACUCUUUUAUUGUUAGUAGAAUACUGAAUCUUUUCUGUUCUCACUAGUAGAGUCUUCAUAAUUCAUGAUCCAACGUUAGUUUAAAUAGAAAAUUGGACCUCAAAUUAUCUUUGCUCAGAUGACUUUGUAGGAGAAAAUAUUAUUGGGACAGUACUUCAGUAAACCCACUGAGAACAUACUGCGUGUCCCAGCAAGCUGGAAAGUAAACAGUUGUUGUAAAUUAUGCAGGACGGUGUUGGUUUCCAUUACAGCAAUACUCUCUUUCAAGUUGGGCCAGGAAACAACGCUCCUGUACCCUGCUUCUGCUUCUCCCAGCACAUGUGAACUGCCAACCACCAACAGCCUAGAUUUCCGAAGGAAAGGCCAGCCUGGCCUAGUUACAUUCUUCACAGCAGUGUAUACAAACAUUUCUUCUGAGCUUGUAGUAUUAAUCUGUUUCUUUCUGUUAGUCAUACUUUUCUUUGAAUUUUUUUUUUGGUGGUGGGGCGGGGAGAACUGGCUAGAGCUGGAUGUCUGGUUUUAGGUCUUUGUGGGGGAGGGGAAUAUGCUGGAUCAAAUAGCAUGGACCUGGAGUGUGGGAAUCACUUCAGAAUACAGUAGAACUUCAGGCCUUUAUGCUUAGUGAUCUGAUUCUCCCUAAGUGUACAAGAGAUAGGAAUGGAAUUAACUAGGUACAUGCUUUUAAGAUUUAAUUCAUCAAGACCUUACAUAUUAAAGCUGUUAGCUUUCCAUCAGAGAGUUAAUAUGGGACUUGAAAUGAUCCAGUGUAACUAACGUGUGUUACUACUGCCUUGAGAAUGGACUGAGGGGAAGGACAGUCAUGGCUAUUUUUGCCUCUUAGGUGGCAACCAUUGUUUGUUAUGGAGUUAGGAAGGUUUUCUUUGGCUUCCUCAGCAUCUGGCAGUCUCCCAGUCCGCUCACAUCUGCCAGUCAGGCUGUCUCCCCUCUGCUCCCUCUGGUCCUGUGUGAGCCAGCCGAGUGUCUUCUGCUACAAGAGCCUUCCCUGGAGUACCGGUGCGUGUGCGUGGACUGGCUUUUCAUCCCUUUUCUCUUUCGAAAUGUUCUGUGUCCUUUUGUGGGAUUUACAUUUUUGACAGUUAAGUUUUUUAGCUAAAUGUUUCUCCAAAACUCAGAAACCAAAACUCUAAUGUGUUUUCCCACCGAGACUUUAUUAAUGAUCAUUUGUAGCUGCUUUCUCCACUGCGUGGUUCCUUCUCCUCAGUCUUCAUGUGAGGCCUCUGCCUAGUCCUAACCUGACACUCCAUUGCUUCUUGAGAAUAUGAACUAUUGGCUAAUCCCGAUUUUCCUAAAUGUCUUAUCACAGUCAGAAAAGUAAUACAUGACUGUAAUAGGAAAAUGGGAAAAAAGCAGGAAGUAGAAGAGAAGUUGAAAUCAAUUUCUGUUGGGCAUGGUGGUCAAGUGCAAGAACUAGUUUCUAUGAGUUCAAGGUUAGCCUCCUCGACAUAGUGAGUUCCAGACCCAGCCAAAGAGACCUUGACUCAAAAACAAACAAACCAAAAGCAGGCAAACAAAAUCCCAUCAAAGCCCAAAUCAUACAAUUGCCCUCUGGUCGUUUCCACUCUGUGCUGAUGGUCAUAGUCAGGGCCGGUUGCUGCACUCCUUUCACCCUUUCUCACCCUUGGGGGCCCUCCACACCCUACUUGAACCUUGCUGUCCAUGCAGUGCCCCAUCACCUUACUUGCCAGCCCCAGCCAAUGGAUGUCAGCCCUCAGUACAGCGUCUCCCUUCCCAUCCCAUGGCAUUCUGUGCCUGACCCUCUCUUCCCUGUGUCUGGUUCACCACUGGAUCUGGCAACCUGGUUUUCAUCCCUAACCCCGGUUCAUCCAAUUUGCUGUAGCAAUGAAUUGUUCUGGACAAGUAAGGGGGUGGGGCAGGGAGGAGGAAAGGAAUUAAUCAAGAUUAAACAGUGUAUAUAUCUUAAGUGUGUAGCAACAGUAUAUUGUAAGGUAUUUGAUGGCAGAGGGCCUAGUGCCCCAGUGUCAACAGUGGAAUUUGCACAUGAAUUCACACCCUGCCGUCAAAUACCUUUCUGGUUUCUAAGGCUCUCCUUGACUUUGAGCCUUCUCUUCAUUUGAAUAUGUAUUAGCUGUCCCUAUACUGUGUUCUGGGUUUCUUCCAGUUACUGUUUUUCUAGAGAUGAUCAAAUAGGCAAUGUGACACACACAGUUUUUGCUACUGAGUUCCAGACUUUUUAUAUUUUUAUCCCCUGAAUUUGGGUUACAAUUUCUAGUUGUCUUUUUGUAACCUUUUGUUUUAUUGUGUGUAGAGUCCCAGUACACAAGCCACCCAUCCCCACCUUUGUUUUUGUUUUUUGUUUUUUUUUCUUUUUUUCCGGAGUUGGGGGAGUUGGGGGACCAAACCCAGGGCCUUGCGCUUCCUAGGCAAGCGCUCUACCGCUGAGCUAAAUCCCCAACCCCCAUCCCCACCUUUGUUAUGCAUAUCGAGGUCUGUUUUAUGUGUUAAUGCCAUCCCUCCUUGAUAGUGUUUAUUUGGUUCUUUUUGAAUUAUAUAUGUGAAUAUUUAACCAUUCAGUUCCUGGAUAAAAGACACCCACACAACCUUUAUAUUUACAUUAAGCCUUAAACCGCACAAGAGCUGGGCAGAUAGCUACCCUCUUUGCUAUAAGAGUCUGCUUUCCUAUCGAUAACCCUGAGUGUGUGUGCAUGUGUGCGUGCGUGCGUGUAUUAUCAUAUUCUUAGGGUUAGUGCGCGGUAGGGUGUGGUUUGGAAUGAUUGUGAGAUUUUUGCUGGUUAUGAUUAACAGGACAAAUGGAAGCGUCAGUAAUUAAUGACAUGUUAUUACCUCUUGAUUAGAAACUGUUCCCCCCACACUUUUAUUUUGUGUUAGUGUAAGCUUGCAUGUAGGUGUGUGUGCAUGUGUGGAGGUCAUAGGACAGCUUUGAGGAGUUGAUUCUCUUCUUUUAUUAUGGGUUAGGGAAAUUAAACUCAGGUUGUUAGGCUUGCUUGACAGAUGACUUUGCCUGAUCAGGAAUUUUGCUGCCCCAAGAAAAAGUCAUAUUCUCCAUACCAAGGGAUUUCAAAUCCUUUUAAAAGUUUCAUUUGCAUUCUAGUCAACCAACUUUAUUUUUCUCUAAUAAUACCUUUUGUUAUGGAACAAUCCUGGUGCUGAUUGAUUAAAAAAAUAAAAAGUAGUUAAAUCAUACAAGUUUACAGGAUGUAGAAGUAUAUUUAUUAUACAACUUAGAAUUAUUUCUUCAAUUAUACUUCCUUCUUUCAUUAACUUCCUAUACUACCGGGAUUAUAGUGGGAUAUUUAAAACAUUAAAAUUUAUGUGUUUAUUUACAGGGGAGCAUAUAUGCACUACUACAUGUCUGUGUGGGUUAGAGAACAAUUUGUGGGAGUCACAUCUCUUUCCAGCAUGUGGGUUACAGGAACUCAGGUCCUCAAACUUGGCAGCAAAUGCUUUUACAUACAAAGCCUAAGUAUUUGGCUUUGUAUGUAAAUUUUCCAAUGACUGUGUCGAAAACUUAUGAUUCUGUUUUUUUUUUAUCAUUAUUUUUUUAAUUUUAAACAAAAGUUGAGUCAAAAGAGUUAGAAUCUGGUUAAAAACAAUCACGGAAAUGACUACUCACAGGUUAGAGGCUGCAAAGGUGUGAAUUCCUCAGGCCACACCUUUUGGUCAUUGUCAUCCACAGUGAAUGAUGUCACAUGAUUAAACCUCUCCCUUUAGUCCUCACUGAAGUCAUCUGACUGUCUGACAUGUGAGCAUUGAUUCCUUUGGUAAAGGGAGACAUAACUUAGACACUUUUAGAUUCAUCUGAGAGGCAGUGGUUACAAAUAAAACAUUGUGGAAAGCUGCGAUUUUCAGAGCUUUGUUUAAAAGCCAGAAUAACUGUUAAUUCUGGGCAGUUGAUUGACAGGUUCCAGAUUCUGCUGUAAGUGUCCAGUGAUUGCACGGUGUGCUUCACAGAGAGGAGUAGAAGUACUUGUGACAGUUCUCUGGUACCCACCAGGGCAGUGUGAUUUGGAGCACUGCAGCGUUCUUUCAUUGAUUUCUAUCAUUGGCCUUUUAGUAUUUCAUUCUGGCCUCCAUUGCUUUUCUUCCAACUUUAUGUCGUAUUCUUAACUCCCUGACUUUUUAUGAAACUUACAGAUGGAUCAUUAUGGCAGCAUAAGCCGCAGUUUAGGAACCCCGGAGUUGAUUACUGCGAAGGAUGGCAGUAAGCCAUCUCUCCAGCCCCUCAGACUUUCUUGAAGUUUUCACUUGUCUUUGAGAUAUUGUCAUGCAUUAAACUGAUACAUUCUUGCAAACAAAGGCAGACAUGUAAUCAUCUGAUAUUUGCCAUGGAGGGAUUUGAGCUCUCUGUAUUAGCUUUUUUUAAAAAAAAAAUAACACUUGAUAUUUAUGAGAAUUAAAGACUUGUUUUUCAAAUAAUAUUCAGAAAAAUAGGAGCAUAGUAAUAUUAUGGGGGAAAGGUUUUUAGUUUGUGGGAGUUUAGUAUGUCUGUUUAUUAAAGGAAUUAGAUGAUUAAAAGUUAUGAGUCCAGGCUGCCUUUCACUCUUCUGAAGUACAUUUCUGAUCUUUUAGCCUUUUGUAUUAUCCAAGCACCCAGGACGGUCACACAGUGGAUAGCUACCUUUGGGAAGAUUCCAGGACGGUCACACAGUGGAUAGCUACCUUUGGGAAGAUUGAUGCUACUGGCUCUUCAGCCUUUUGAUAUCCGAGCUGCUGAUCACCUGAACGAAGUGACCUUAGACGUAAUUUAGCCCCUAAAAGUAGCUUUUGAGCUUGUUUCUCAGAACCACUUGCUUAGAAUUCGUACAUGCUUCCUGUUUACUGUUUUAUCACCUCAUCAUUUUAACAGACGUGUGUCUGAUACACCAAAUAUUUCCAGUUGUUCUGUGGGAGUCAGAGCUGAUUGUUACAGUUACUUAUGGCCGUCUUUCUCUGUAUCCGCUGGUCUUCUCUUUUUUAUCUUGUAUUCCCAGUCCUCCCUCCUCUCCCUCUCUGCUUUCUUCAUAUUGUCCUUUUGUAUUUUGUUUAUAUUGUGUGUAGAAAGAUACAAACUUGACAAUCAACAGCAGAAGGGGAUGGAUUCUUGUUAGUGACUGCGGUGGUAGACAUGAAACACUUCCUUUCUUAGAUGAUGGAUUCACAGUGCAGCUGGAGUGGACCUGGGUGUGAGAACUGGGUUCCCCAGUGGUAUAUGCCGUAUACAGUGUGGGUAUACAGCUGGUCUUUUCAUAGGUGUGAGGGACGGUGACUGUUUUUUUUUUUUUUUUUUUUUUUCUUUUUUUUUCGGAGCUGGGGACCGAACCCAGGGCCUUGCGCUCGCUAGGCAAGCGCUCUACCACUGAGCUACAUCCCCAACCCCGGGACGGUGACUGUUAAUAGUUCCUGGGUCCUUUGUAUCUGCUGCAUACGUGUACAGUGAGUGUGGCAGUGUGUUAGCUGCAGGAGUCGGUCGUGAGUAUUCAUUUCAAUCGUACGUGUUUGCCAUUAUGAAUUCUUUAUGUUUCUUUUAUUUCUGUAUUGAUUUAAGGAUGCUGCUGUGCCCUUGUUUUUCUUGUUUUUUUUUUUAAUUUUCACGUAUAAAUACCAGCAUUUAUUCAUAAAAAUAAGAGAAAGGGGAAAAUAAGUUAGAUGAGAGCGUAAUAGAGAUUUAAAAAAAAAAAAAAACAAA